This is an RNA transcript of Panicum virgatum (switchgrass), 2696 nucleotides long. It is a transcript of the gene named protein SOSEKI 2-like, with no coding region annotated. The transcript has 7 exons. The record is from RefSeq and is a predicted model, not a curated record. Lineage: Eukaryota; Viridiplantae; Streptophyta; Magnoliopsida; Poales; Poaceae.
CCGUUUUGCAGGCCCCGUGCCCGCCAUUACGAUUUACGCCCCGCCCCGACCCCCCGCUUCAAUGCCCUCAUUCCCUUCUUGAGCUCGCCCGCCCGCGCAACCUCAUCCCCCCUCCCGUCAUCCCGUGCCGGAGCUGCAGCUGCCAUUGCCCUUCUCGUGCUCCUCCUAGCCCACUGCCCACGCCGCCUGACGCCUCGCUGUAACCGAACCCCCCUUUUGGGGGCUUGGAGGCGCCUGCUUGUCCGCUUCCUGCCCCCGCCUCCCCACCCACGACGCCCUCCCGCGCGCCGGAAACCUCCAACCCCGGGGCUUUGUAGUUUGUUGCCACCCGCUUUGGCCCUUGCGGCGGUCACAUCGCGCCCCCCCUGCCGCGGCGUGCGCCCAAAAGGAAACGAGACCAGAGCUCGGGAUCAGCAGCUCCCCGGCGCCCCGCCCCGCCCCGUCCCCUCACGUGCCCGCGCCAGUGAGAGCCGCCCGCCGCGGCCACGCCUUCCUUGGCCGGAUUCCGAUCGCUGGCGAGUUCCAAUCUCGGCGGCGCCCGUGCGCGGGGGAGAAUGCGGGUCGUGGAGGCCCCCGCCGCCCGAUAAUUUCGACAGAGGUUUCGAGGAAGGCUUCGGACUUGCAGCUCGAGUUUCUUCUAGGCGCGCGCACCGAGAGGACAGUCUGAAGGGUGAGCUCAAGGGAGUUGGGGGCGGGGAUGGAGAGCCGGGGGCGGCGGCCGCGGACGCCGGAGCGGCAGAGGCCGCCGGCGCGGAAGGUGCCGGUGGUGUACUACCUCACGCGGAGCCGCCACCUCGAGCACCCGCACUUCGUCGAGGUGCCGGUGGCCUCGCCGGAGGGGCUCUACCUCAGAGAUGCCAUCAACCACCUCAACACGGUGCGCGGCAAGGGCAUGGCCGCGAUGUACUCGUGGUCCUGCAAGAGGAGCUACAAGAACGGGUUCGUGUGGCAGGACCUCGCCGAGGAUGACCUCGUCCUCCCGGCAACCGACGGCGAGUAUGUGCUCAAGGGCUCCGAGCUCGUGGACCAAUCCGCUUCAGGUCAAUUGCACCCUGUCAGUAACGGCAACCACAAGCAACAGAGCAGGCUGAAAGAAGGUGCACGGCAGCCACUGCCAAGAGAGCACUCCUACCCAUCCUCCCCUCCAAGCGUGAUAGUUAGAGAAGCCAAGCCCCGGCGUUCACCAUCUGUGCCUUCACAAGAUGAGGAUGACACCCCGUCGCCGUGCAGGGAUCGUUCCUUCAGGACCAUGUCGCCGGACUUGGAGCCCCAUAGGAGUGAGAGGACUCAACUGCCAGAGAGUGGGUCUGGGAGCCCAGCGGAGUUCAGAGUUUACAAGCCCACUGGUUGCAUGGAUGCUGCAACUCAAACUGAUGAUCUUGGCAGAAGAUUGGGUCGGAGAGCACCUGAGGUGCGCAAGAAGAGUCUGAGCACAGAUCAUGAUGCUGUAGUUCGUGAAAUUACUGAAUACCGGCAAAGCCACCCUCGCCGGUCAGCAGAUCUCCAAGGGAUCUCCAGGGAACUCCUGUCCCAGUGUGCUACUCCAUUGAGUAUACCUUCAACCCGUGGAAAGUCCGAGAGUUUAGAGUCCUUGAUACGAGCAGAUAAUGCGACAAACAGUUUCAGAAUUCUUGAAGAGGAGGACAUCGUUGUGCCCACCUGCCCGAAGCUGAAGCCAACAAAUUUAUUGAUGCAGCUCAUCACUUGUGGUUCGCUUUCAGUGAAAGAUCAUGAAAAUGUUGGAAUUGUUCAGGCAUACAAGCCAAGGUUCCCAAACCUGAAGUUCUCGUCUCCGUUAAUUUCUCGCACCAUGAUGAUGGGUGAGCUUGAUUACCUGUCAGAAAAUCCCAGGUUAAUGGGGAUGAGGUUGGAAGAAAAGGAAUACUUCAGUGGAAGCCUUAUUGAGACUAAGACGCAAAGAGAUGUUCCAGCCGAGAGGUAUUUGGCACUAAAACGGUCGUCUUCCUACAAUGCAGAAAGGGGUGGCGAGACUCUAGAUUGCGCAAGACCUGAUGAGGAUACAGCAGACACAUCAUCGCGCUCAAGGUGCCUCCCCCGGACGCCAAUCCUGUCAUCCUUCCUGCACUCGAAGAGUGACACCCUGAAAUCCCCGGUCUCAGACUGCCGGAGGAGCUCUUCGGCCCGGCAGGACAGCGACCUGGCGUCCGGGGAUGGGAGCAGGAGGUUUGCCGACGCCUCAAUCACGUCAGCAGCAAAGACGGACUCGUUUAGAAAGGAGAAGCUCGUCAAGAUUGAGGAAAGUUAAGUGUUGCUCGUGGCCUCUCUUACCUGAAACUACUGUGAACUCUUUGUCAGUGCUGGCCUGCUGGGCUGUCAUCCGGAGCUCGCGUUGUGAUCCAGUACACCAUCCCCUGCAACGAGAGCGACGAAGGCUCUGAGCGCUGAGGGGAGUGACCAUGCAGCGAUCCCGCUGUGCUUUUGCUAGGGAGAUUCUCCUUGGCAGAUUAGCGAGAAGCAUUGCAUCUCUUUGUAAGUGCCGAUUGCUAGGGAGAUUCUCCUUGGCAGAUUAGCGAGAAGCAUUGCAUCUCUUUGCUAGUUCUUUUUGUCAUUUUUUUACCUUCUUCCUUAGAAGUUUAUAUCCUAUUAUCAUUUUGUAAGUGCCGAUUAAAAUGUAUCUGUUGUGUUUUUGCCCCCUGUGGCCUGUGGUUCUAUAAUCGUUUUCUAUUGGUGGAUGA